AGAGUUUGAUCAUGGCUCAGAACGUACGCUGGCGGCACGCCUAACACAUGCAAGUCGAACGAAGUAGCAAUACUUAGUGGCAGACGGGUGAGUAACAUGUAGGUAUCUGCCCUUUGGCCUGGAAUAACACGAGGAAACUUGUGCUAAUACCGGAUAAGUCUUUACGGAGAAAGCUUUAUGCACCAUUGGAUGAGCCUGCACUUGAUUAGUUUGUUGGUGGGGUAAUGGCCUACCAAGACUGUGAUCAAUAGCUGAUUUGAGAGGAUGAUCAGCCACAUUGGGACUGAGACACGGCCCAAACUCCUACGGGAGGCAGCAGUGGGGAAUCUUGCACAAUGGAGGAAACUCUGAUGCAGCGAUGCCGCGUGAGUGAAGAAGGCCCUUGGGUUGUAAAGCUCUUUCGUCGGGGAAGAAAAUGACUGUACCCGAAUAAGAAG
RNAcentral lists this ribosomal RNA (437 nucleotides) under uncultured proteobacterium OCS180. RNAcentral's name for it is "SSU rRNA". It matches the Rfam family "Bacterial small subunit ribosomal RNA", at positions 8 to 490 of the family's 1533-position model. The record is from RNAcentral. Lineage: Bacteria; Pseudomonadati; Pseudomonadota; Alphaproteobacteria; Candidatus Pelagibacterales.